UAGCUCAUUCAUGGAAUAAUGAAAACAGGACUUCGGUUCUUUUUGUUGGUUCUAGAAUUGAUCUAAUGGUAAAGAGGGACAAACCGGGGGCAUUCGUAUCAUUACGCGAGAGGUGAAAUUCGUGGACCGUAGUGAGACGCCCAAUAGCGAAAGCAUUUGCCAAGAAUGUCUUCAUUAAUCAAGAACGAAAGUCAGAGGUUCGAAGGCGAUUAGAUACCGCCCUAGUUCUGACCGUAAACGAUGCCAUCUCGCGAUUCGGAGGGUUCAUGCCCUACCGAGGAGCUACCCGGAAACGAAAGUCUUUCGGUUCCGGGGGUAGUAUGGUUGCAAAGCUGAAACUUAAAGAAAUUGACGGAAGGGCACCACAAGGCGUGGAGCUUGCGGCUUAAUUUGACUCAACACGGGAAAACUCACCCGGUCCGGACACUAUUAGGACUGACAGAUUGAAAGCUCUUUCUCGAUUUGGUGGUUGGUGGUGCAUGGCCGUUCUUAGUUGGUGGAGUGAUUUGUCUGGUUUAUUCCGAUAACGAGCGAGACUCUAGCCUGCUAAAUAGUCGACGAAUCUUCGGGUUCGUAUAACUUCUUAGAGGGAUAAGCGGUGUUUAGCCGCACGAGAUUGAGCGAUAACAGGUCUGUGAUGCCCUUAGAUGUCCGGGGCUGCACGCGUGUGUACACUGGUGGAGUCAGCGGGUUUUUCCUAUGCCGAAAGGUAUCGGUAAACCGUUGAACUUCUUCCAUGUCCGGGAUAGGGUAUUGUAAUUAUUACCCUUAAACGAGGAAUGCCUAGUAAGUGUGAGUCAUCAGCUCACGUUGAUUACGUCCCUGCCCUUUUGUACACACCGCCCGUCGCUAUCCGGGACUGAACUGAUUCGAGAAGAGUGGGGACUGUGGCUGCGAGGUUUUACCACUUCGCAGUUGCGGAAACCAUUUUUAUCGCAUUGGUUUGAACCGGGUAAAAGUCGUAACAAGGUAGCUGUAGGUGAACCUGCAGCUGGAUCAUCG
This is a non-coding RNA of Caenorhabditis japonica, 1002 nucleotides long. The record is from Rfam. Lineage: Eukaryota; Metazoa; Nematoda; Chromadorea; Rhabditida; Rhabditidae.